RNAcentral lists this transfer RNA (74 nucleotides) under Clostridia bacterium. RNAcentral's name for it is "tRNA-Gly". It matches the Rfam family "tRNA". From Rfam's summary of the family: Transfer RNA (tRNA) molecules are approximately 80 nucleotides in length. Their secondary structure includes four short double-helical elements and three loops (D, anti-codon, and T loops). Lineage: Bacteria; Bacillati; Bacillota; Clostridia. The record is from RNAcentral.
GCGGGUAUAGUCUAAUGGUAAAACUCCAGCUUCCCAAGCUGGCUACGCGGGUUCGAUUCCCGUUACCCGCUCCA